CCCCGACCUGGCUGCCCCCCUGUCAGCUUCUAAAGUGAAAGAGUGGUUGUUUGUAUCCGGACUUUCGGGUCACACUAGGGCCAGCGUUUGAAAGCAGUUGCUCUUCUUGACCAACGAGGACCACCCAAGGAUAUCAUUUGGACAGUCAGUCACAAUAGCUGCCGUCAACAGAUGAUGCUGUUAAUGGGGAAGGGCCUCCACUCGUGUACUUCUAAAGUCUCGAAUAACCCUCUGAGUGCGGUUAGCUGCCAUCCAGCCUUCUGUGCCCAGGCUGCAGCUGCUCAACUCCCACUGCAAAAGCCCUGCAACUACGCAAGCCCUGCUCCGACUACGCAAGCCCUGCUCCGACUACUCAAGCCCUGCUCCGACUACGCAAGCCCUGCUCCGACUACGCAAGCCCUGCUCCAACUACGCAAGCCCUGCUCCGACU
RNAcentral lists this long non-coding RNA (430 nucleotides) under Rattus norvegicus (Norway rat). RNAcentral's name for it is "long non-coding RNA NONRATT033222". The record is from RNAcentral. Lineage: Eukaryota; Metazoa; Chordata; Mammalia; Rodentia; Muridae.